AGCAGCGUGGCUUAGUGGAAAAAGCACUGGCUUGGGAGGCAGAGGAUGUGGGUUCUAAUCCCAGUUCUGCUG
This 72-nucleotide transfer RNA is filed under the name Ornithorhynchus anatinus (platypus). It matches the Rfam family "tRNA". From Rfam's summary of the family: Transfer RNA (tRNA) molecules are approximately 80 nucleotides in length. Lineage: Eukaryota; Metazoa; Chordata; Mammalia; Monotremata; Ornithorhynchidae. The record is from Rfam by way of RNAcentral.